Molecule: long non-coding RNA, 1773 nt
Filed under: Sorghum bicolor (sorghum)
Lineage: Eukaryota; Viridiplantae; Streptophyta; Magnoliopsida; Poales; Poaceae
Description: long non-coding RNA (SBIC_LNC006602)
Source: RNAcentral
AGUUAAAAGAUAGAACAGUCUAGUCAAGUGCCAUGUCUCUUAUUCUUGAUCAGCUAUAGCUCUGAAGUUUUUGCAGAUUUUCAAAUAAAACUCAGAGAUUCCUUUGUUUGACUCUCUCAUAUCUCUCUUUUGUGGUAUUUCUGGAUCCUUACCAAAGCAAUGAUGGUAUAUGCCUUCUCUCAAUAUAUGUGGUAUUUGUGGUAUAUGGCAUAGUGACACUGUCUUCUCUCUCACCCUACUCUAAUAAGGCUUUAAUAUCUGGAGCUCAUAGGUGAGAGAUAAAGUAUACAUACUUACAAGACAUUUAUUGCAUAGUCAAACCAUGGAUCCAAAGAAACAAAUCAAUAAGUCAAAUCAAGAUGUGCAUGUGUGGCGAAUGAAUGGUGUAUGGUGAUGAUGGUGAUAACAAUGGUGAAAGUCUAAUUCUACUUUUUGCUCUUUUGAGGGGAUACAUACCUUUCUUGCUUUUUGAAUAGUGAGGAGAAUGAGAUGCUCUAUCUUUUUCUUUUUCUUUCCUCUCAGGUGGGUAUCUUGUACCCCUAAUUCUACUGUCGGACACUUGUCCAUUUUUACCUCUCGUCUCACUUUUUCUUUCCUUUCGAGGUUCCGGGCACUUGCCCCUUUUUAUUUCCUCUUAUCUCUUUUUUUCUUCACUUUUUUUAGAGCACUCAUCUCUUGAGAUAAUAUAGCAAGUGGUAGUAACAAGAUAACUUGAGCAUUUAUUUCACAGGGAAAAAACAAUAUUUUUGGUCGUUCUCUCCCGGAUUAGGAGUAGAAUAUUUUUGGGUGGUUCUGGAGAUGGAUAUAUGUGGAUGGUACUUCCGGAGUAGAAGUAGCAUAUAUGAGUGAACGUGCAAGUGAAUCUUGAUUUAACCACAUGACAAGCUCCUAAGGGUCUACACAGCUUGACCACACUCAAUGCUCAUAAGCAGUAAAAAGUAAAUGUGUGGCUCAAAGUCUAGCAAUCAUGUAUAUAUGGCUGUGGUAGGAAUUUAAACUCUCAUCAUACAGGAACUCAUCAUGCAACAUUUUAAAGAUUUUCAAAGAUAAAAUUCUCCAGAAUUCUAGCAUCUCUAGGAACAGAUAAACAGCAACUCAACGUUCCCAUAUCGUAUCCGUUAACAACUUAGACUUCAGAUCAAGUUUUCAUCCCACAAGUUUAGGUCUAGAGCAAGCUUUAAAUUAUAACAGUUAUAUCUAAACUUGAGAGAGAACUUAAAAUGUCCAAAUUAGGCAGAGCAACUAUUCAUCAUAUCCAUGCUAAAGUUUUAUUUAGAUACAGAUUAGCAUAGCCACUUUAUUUAUUUAUUAAACAUACUAAGCAAAAGAUGUAUAUAAGCAUAAAAUCUUUAUUUGGUUUUUCAUAGUUUAUGUAUAUUUAUAUUCUAAAAUAGUAUAAGUAUAAAGAUAGAUAGAUAGAAAUACUUAUCGGGAUAAAUGGGGGUGCUCUCCCCCAAGCUGAAUUUUGACGUAAUUUCUCUUGAUGUAGCUAGCAGGUGGUAGAGGUGUAUUUGAAAGUCGGCAGCAUUCUGACAGCGAUUAGAAUGUCUUCCGUCUACUAGUCUUCUUGAUCCUUAAAUUCUGUGGAGCUCAAAUAGACAACAAAGCUUGUGGAACUGAUUAAGUGUUAGCAUAAAUAUCUAGCCUUUAUCAUGUUGAGACUCCUUAAUAAUUAUUACUCCCUGUUUUUAUAUUUUUAUUUUAUAAAGCAGAAAUGAAAUAUUUAUUUUAUUUUUGUGCCACCACAGUGAAUGUACUUAUGGGUUUUAUGCC